RNAcentral lists this ribosomal RNA (253 nucleotides) under uncultured bacterium. RNAcentral describes it as "partial 16S ribosomal RNA". It matches the Rfam family "Bacterial small subunit ribosomal RNA", at positions 524 to 776 of the family's 1533-position model. The record is from RNAcentral.
UACGGAAGGGGCUAGCGGUGUUCGGACUUACUGGGCGUAAAGAGCGCGUAGGCGGCUUACCAAGUUGGGGGUGAAAUCCCGGAGCUCAACUCCGGAACUGCCUUCAAAACUGGUAGGCUCGAGUCCGGAAGAGGGGCGUGGAAUUCCCAGUGUAGAGGUGAAAUUCGUAGAUAUUGGGAAGAACACCGGUGGCGAAGGCGGCGCCCUGGUCCGGUACUGACGCUGAGGCGCGAAAGCGUGGGGAGCAAAUAGG